UACGGAGGGUGCAAGCGUUGUCCGGAAUCACUGGGCGUAAAGCGCGCGUAGGCGGACCUGCAAGUCGGGGGUGAAAGCCCGAGGCUCAACCUCGGAACUGCCUUCGAUACUGCGGGUCUCGAGUCCGGGAGAGGUGAGUGGAAUUCCUAGUGUAGAGGUGAAAUUCGUAGAUAUUAGGAAGAACACCAGUGGCGAAGGCGGCUCACUGGCCCGGUACUGACGCUGAGGCGCGAAAGCGUGGGGAGCAAACAGG
This 253-nucleotide ribosomal RNA is filed under the name uncultured bacterium. RNAcentral describes it as "partial 16S ribosomal RNA". It matches the Rfam family "Bacterial small subunit ribosomal RNA", at positions 524 to 776 of the family's 1533-position model. The record is from RNAcentral.